Molecule: ribosomal RNA, 253 nt
Filed under: uncultured bacterium
Lineage: Bacteria
Description: partial 16S ribosomal RNA
Rfam family: Bacterial small subunit ribosomal RNA
Source: RNAcentral
UACGAAGGGGGCUAGCGUUGCUCGGAAUCACUGGGCGUAAAGCGCACGUAGGCGGCUUUCUAAGUCAGGGGUGAAAUCCUGGAGCUCAACUCCAGAACUGCCUUUGAUACUGGAGAGCUUGAGUCCGGAAGAGGUGAGUGGAACUCCGAGUGUAGAGGUGAAAUUCGUAGAUAUUCGGAAGAACACCAGUGGCGAAGGCGGCUCACUGGGCCGGUACUGACGCUGAGGUGCGAAAGCGUGGGGAGCAAACAGG